This 200-nucleotide ribosomal RNA is filed under the name uncultured bacterium. RNAcentral describes it as "partial 16S ribosomal RNA". It matches the Rfam family "Bacterial small subunit ribosomal RNA", at positions 30 to 231 of the family's 1533-position model. The record is from RNAcentral.
AUUGAACGCUGGCGGCAGGCCUAACGCAUGCAAGUCGAGCGCGAAAGUUCUUCGGAAUGAGUAAAGCGGCGGACGGGUGAGUAAUACAUGGGAAUCUGCCUGGUAGUGGGGGACAACGUUUCGAAAGGAACGCUAAUACCGCAUACGCCCUACGGGGGAAAGGGGGGGGAGUCUUCGGACCUCUCGCUAUCAGAUGAGCC